CGGACGGGUGAGUAACGCGUGGGGAACCUGCCCUGUACAGGGGGAUAACACUUAGAAAUAGGUGCUAAUACCGCAUAAGCGCACAGUAUCGCAUGAUACAGUGUGAAAAACUCCGGUGGUACAGGAUGGACCCGCGUCUGAUUAGCUGGUUGGCGGGGUAACGGCCCACCAAGGCGACGAUCAGUAGCCGGCCUGAGAGGGUGAACGGCCACAUUGGGACUGAGAUACGGCCCAGACUCCUACGGAAGGCAGCAG
This 255-nucleotide ribosomal RNA is filed under the name uncultured bacterium. RNAcentral describes it as "partial 16S ribosomal RNA". It matches the Rfam family "Bacterial small subunit ribosomal RNA", at positions 99 to 354 of the family's 1533-position model. The record is from RNAcentral.